Molecule: ribosomal RNA, 253 nt
Filed under: uncultured bacterium
Lineage: Bacteria
Description: partial 16S ribosomal RNA
Rfam family: Bacterial small subunit ribosomal RNA
Source: RNAcentral
UACGUAGGGUGCAAGCGUUGUCCGGAAUUAUUGGGCGUAAAGGGCUCGUAGGCGGUUUGUCGCGUCGGGAGUGAAAACACACAGCUUAACUGUGUGCCUGCUUCCGAUACGGGCAGACUAGAGGUAUGCAGGGGAGAACGGAAUUCCUGGUGUAGCAGUGAAAUGCGCAGAUAUCAGGAGGAACACCGGUGGCGAAGGCGGUUCUCUGGGCAUUACCUGACGCUGAGGAGCGAAAGUGUGGGGAGCGAACAGG